This is a long non-coding RNA of Myotis myotis, 1616 nucleotides long. RefSeq lists it as uncharacterized. Lineage: Eukaryota; Metazoa; Chordata; Mammalia; Chiroptera; Vespertilionidae. The transcript is spliced from 3 exons. The record is from RefSeq and is a predicted model, not a curated record.
ACACGGCACCAGAGUUAAGUUAGGGUUUUUCAAAAUGCUGACACGCCGAGCUCAAGAGGUUCGCCAUCACUGGCCUAGGGAGAAGCCAUGGGCAUCUCAGAAAUGUGAGUGUGACAGGCUGGGCAAAACCAAACACAAGUUUCAGGAACUUAGUACUACUGGCCACAUCUGCACCUCUUCAGGUACAUACCUGGAAUGUUUUCACAGCCGGAAUCCAGUCUCUGAGGUGACUCAUGAGAAAUUCAAAUUUGUUUAGAACACUCAACGAUAAUAAGAGUAGCUAACAGUUUUCAAGUACAUGCCAGGCACUGUGCUAAGCCCUUUUGGCAAAAUAGUCUCUCUAUGCCUUACUAGUAAUAGUUAGGAUUCCCAUUUUGACAAUAAGGAACUUGAGGCUCAGAGAAGUAACUUGCACCAGAGUCUCUCCUGCUCUUAACUACUUUCCCAGCUGUUAAGGAUGGUGACUACCACUUACAGAGAGCUGAUUAAGGGCCUGCCCACGUGUUGUAACUGACUUAAUCUUCAUAAGAACCUUACUAAGGAGCACCUAGGAGUCCCACAGACAGAUGAAGAACCUUUGGCUGCAGCACCGGGCAUCACAGCCCUUCCAUUGGCCAGCCUCUGGGGCAUGUAUGUUCCCACUAAGGCACUGCUAACAACAGAGGAAGAGGAAAAAGAACCCAGCUCUUUCUUACUCGCUUUAUUAAAACCUAAGUCUGCCCAGAAGCCCUCAAACAGUAACAGCCUGUACCAGAGUCUCAGUGACAUCCCGAGACAGUUCCUAAAGGGCUACUAAAUAUAACUCUCUUCCACGGGGCUGCUGCCUGCUACCUUCACUUUUAUGAUCUUACUUAUGAAACAUCUAGUCAACGUGAAGUUCACGGGCAGGUCUCAGCUGAACAAGGGCAGCCUCGGACAGAGGUUGAGUUUCAGUAUGUACUCAUCUGGCCACCUUUUCACGGAGCCACGUGAGGUUGAUUGACCUUCAGUUGGGAGAAUGACCAGCUAAAAGAAUGUGUUCCCCUGGGGAAAAGGCAAGCCAUGAAGCGUGGAAUGAGAAAAAAGACUGAUGAAUGCACUCGGACUUCCAAAGUUUCAAGCAAUAAGAAUCUGACUUGCUUAAAGCCAAGGGAAUCACUGUCCUCUUCUUUCAAAAUGAAUUGAUGUUGCUUCUGUCCCCGGCAUGAUAGAAAAGUCACCCAUUUCGCUGGUCGACACUCUGGAGCCUGAUUCCCAACUCUGCCACUUCCUCCAGGCAAGGUCACUCAGUAUCCUGGCAGAGAUGGAGUGUCCUUGUCUGUGAAAGGGGUUAAUAGUGUCUGUUUGCAGGGUUGUAUGGACGUGAGACAGUGUGGGUGGAUUGCCUAGAAAUAGUCAUUGCACAUGGUAAGCAAAGGCACUGGUUUUAUCCAGUAAUUUACUGUAUAUAUGUAUCUAUCUCUCCUGUGGCCCUGAGCUCCUCAAGUGCAGAGACCUGCCAUUGGUUUUUAGGUCUAGUGCCUACUCCUGUACAUGCUCAUAUAAAAAAUGAAUAAUUGUGCUCUGGCUGGGUAGCUCAGUUGGUUAGAGUGUCGUCCUGAUAUGCCAAGGUUUGGGGGUUGAUCCCCAGUCAGGGC